RNAcentral lists this ribosomal RNA (730 nucleotides) under uncultured bacterium. RNAcentral describes it as "bacterial SSU rRNA". It matches the Rfam family "Bacterial small subunit ribosomal RNA", at positions 771 to 1501 of the family's 1533-position model. The record is from RNAcentral.
AACAGGAUUAGAUACCCUGGUAGUCCACGCCGUAAACGAUGUCGACUUGGAGGUUGUGCCCUUGAGGCGUGGCUUCCGGAGCUAACGCGUUAAGUCGACCGCCUGGGGAGUACGGCCGCAAGGUUAAAACUCAAACGAAUUGACGGGGGCCCGCACAAGCGGUGGAGCAUGUGGUUUAAUUCGAUGCAACGCGAAGAACCUUACCUGGUCUUGACAUCCACGGAAGUUUUCAGAGAUGAGAAUGUGCCUUCGGGAACCGUGAGACAGGUGCUGCAUGGCUGUCGUCAGCUCGUGUUGUGAAAUGUUGGGUUAAGUCCCGCAACGAGCGCAACCCUUAUCCUUUGUUGCCAGCGGUCCGGCCGGGAACUCAAAGGAGACUGCCAGUGAUAAACUGGAGGAAGGUGGGGAUGACGUCAAGUCAUCAUGGCCCUUACGACCAGGGCUACACACGUGCUACAAUGGCGCAUACAAAGAGAAGCGACCUCGCGAGAGCAAGCGGACCUCAUAAAGUGCGUCGUAGUCCGGAUUGGAGUCUGCAACUCGACUCCAUGAAGUCGGAAUCGCUAGUAAUCGUGGAUCAGAAUGCCACGGUGAAUACGUUCCCGGGCCUUGUACACACCGCCCGUCACACCAUGGGAGUGGGUUGCAAAAGAAGUAGGUAGCUUAACCUUCGGGAGGGCGCUUACCACUUUGUGAUUCAUGACUGGGGUGAAGUCGUAACAAGGUAACC